RNAcentral lists this ribosomal RNA (467 nucleotides) under uncultured bacterium. RNAcentral's name for it is "partial 16S ribosomal RNA". It matches the Rfam family "Bacterial small subunit ribosomal RNA", at positions 28 to 506 of the family's 1533-position model. The record is from RNAcentral.
GACGAACGCUGGCGGCGUGCUUAACACAUGCAAGUCGAACGGAAAGGCCCUGCUUUUGUGGGGUGCUCGAGUGGCGAACGGGUGAGUAACACGUGAGUAACCUGCCCUUGACUUUGGGAUAACUUCAGGAAACUGGGGCUAAUACCGGAUAGGAGCUCCUGCUGCAUGGUGGGGGUUGGAAAGUUUCGGCGGUUGGGGAUGGACUCGCGGCUUAUCAGCUUGUUGGUGGGGUAGUGGCUUACCAAGGCUUUGACGGGUAGCCGGCCUGAGAGGGUGACCGGCCACAGGGGGGCGGAGUUACGGCGCAGGCUCGGACGGGAGGCAGCAGUGGGGAGUGUGGGACAGUGGGCGGAAGCCUGACGCAGGAUCGCGGCGGGCGGGAUGAGGGCCUGCGGGUGGUAAAUCGCUAUCGCCGGUGACGAAGCGGGAGUGAAGGGAAUGGGUAGAGGAACACCGGCUGACUACGU